UCAGGAUGAACGCUGGCGGCGUGCUUAACACAUGCAAGUCGAACGAUGAUCCCAGCUUGCUGGGGGAUUAGUGGCGAACGGGUGAGUAACACGUGAGUAACCUGCCCUUAACUCUGGGAUAAGCCUGGGAAACUGGGUCUAAUACCGGAUAUGACUCCUCAUCGCAUGGUGGGGGGUGGAAAGCUUUAUUGUGGUUUUGGAUGGACUCGCGGCCUAUCAGCUUGUUGGUGAGGUAAUGGCUCACCAAGGCGACGACGGGUAGCCGGCCUGAGAGGGUGACCGGCCACACUGGGACUGAGACACGGCCCAGACUCCUACGGGAGGCAGCAGUGGGGAAUAUUGCACAAUGGGCGAAAGCCUGAUGCAGCGACGCCGCGUGAGGGAUGACGGCCUUCGGGUUGUAAACCUCUUUCAGUAGGGAAGAAGCGAAAGUGACGGUACCUGCAGAG
RNAcentral lists this ribosomal RNA (449 nucleotides) under soil bacterium 6V-06. RNAcentral describes it as "bacterial SSU rRNA". It matches the Rfam family "Bacterial small subunit ribosomal RNA", at positions 24 to 486 of the family's 1533-position model. The record is from RNAcentral.